UUCUGUGAUGUUAAAAUAGUUAAAAUGGACCUACAUAACAAAGUGUGUUCACUGCUGGCUACAAGUUAGCAUCAAACACAACAAAGGAUGUCACUUGAAUGGCGUUUUUAGCUAA
Molecule: long non-coding RNA, 115 nt
Organism: Etheostoma spectabile (orangethroat darter)
Lineage: Eukaryota; Metazoa; Chordata; Actinopteri; Perciformes; Percidae
Exons: 3
Source: RefSeq, a predicted model, not a curated record